This 193-nucleotide unclassified non-coding RNA is filed under the name Apiotrichum loubieri. Its description in RNAcentral is "partial internal transcribed spacer region". The stretch from base 1 to 46 matches the Rfam family "Eukaryotic small subunit ribosomal RNA", at positions 1786 to 1831 of the family's 1831-position model. Lineage: Eukaryota; Fungi; Basidiomycota; Tremellomycetes; Trichosporonales; Trichosporonaceae. The record is from RNAcentral.
AAGUCGUAACAAGGUUUCCGUAGGUGAACCUGCGGAAGGAUCAUUAGUGAUUGCCAUCUUGGCUUAAACUAUAUCCAUCUACACCUGUGAACCGUUUGAUUGAAUCUUCUGAUUCAAUUUUACAAACAUUGUGUAUUGAACGUCAUUAGAUCAUAAUAAGAAAAAACUUUCAACAACGGAUCUCUUGGUUCUG